GCGAGGCCGAAAGGCGUAGUCGAUGGGAAACGGGUUAAUAUUCCCGUACUUCUUACAAUUGCGAUGGGGGGACGGAGAAGGCUAGGUGGGCCUGGCGACGGUUGUCCAGGUUCAAGUGCGUAGGCUUGAGAGUUAGGUAAAUCCGGCUCUCUUUAAGGCUGAGACACGACGUCGAGCAUCUACGGAUGUGAAGUCAUUGAUGCCAUGCUUCCAGGAAAAGCCUCUAAGCUUCAGAUUGUAAGGAAUCGUACCCCAAACCGACACAGGUGGUCGGGUAGAG
RNAcentral lists this ribosomal RNA (280 nucleotides) under Vibrio parahaemolyticus. RNAcentral describes it as "partial 23S ribosomal RNA". It matches the Rfam family "Bacterial large subunit ribosomal RNA", at positions 1396 to 1676 of the family's 2925-position model. The record is from RNAcentral. Lineage: Bacteria; Pseudomonadati; Pseudomonadota; Gammaproteobacteria; Vibrionales; Vibrionaceae.